AACGCGAAGAACCUUACCAGCCCUUGACAUCCCAGUCGCGGGAACGAGAGAUCGAUCCCUUCAGUUCGGCUGGACCGGAGACAGGUGCUGCAUGGCUGUCGUCAGCUCGUGUCGUGAGAUGUUGGGUUAAGUCCCGCAACGAGCGCAACCCUCGCCCUUAGUUGCCAUCAUUCAGUUGGGCACUCUAAGGGGACUGCCGGUGAUAAGCCGCGAGGAAGGUGGGGAUGACGUCAAGUCCUCAUGGCCCUUACGGGCUGGGCUACACACGUGCUACAAUGGCGGUGACAAUGGGAUGCAAUGGGGCGACCCUGCGCAAAUCUCAAAAAGCCGUCUCAGUUCGGAUUGUGCUCUGCAACUCGAGCACAUGAAGUCGGAAUCGCUAGUAAUCGCAGAUCAGCACGUUGCGGUGAAUACGUUCCCGGGUCUUGUACACACCG
RNAcentral lists this ribosomal RNA (437 nucleotides) under uncultured bacterium. RNAcentral's name for it is "bacterial SSU rRNA". It matches the Rfam family "Bacterial small subunit ribosomal RNA", at positions 958 to 1392 of the family's 1533-position model. The record is from RNAcentral.